GAUGAAUGCUGGCGGCGUGCCUAAUACAUGCAAGUCGAGCGAACAGACGAGGAGCUUGCUCCUCUGACGUUAGCGGCGGACGGGUGAGUAACACGUGGAUAACCUACCUAUAAGACUGGGAUAACUUCGGGAAACCGGAGCUAAUACCGGAUAAUAUAUUGAACCGCAUGGUUCAAUAGUGAAAGACGGUUUUGCUGUCACUUAUAGCUGGAUCCGCGCCGCAUUAGCUAGUUGGUAAGGUAACGGCUUACCAAGGCAACGAUGCGUAGCCGACCUGAGAGGGUGAUCGGCCACACUGGAACUGAGACACGGUCCAGACUCCGACGGGAGGCAGCAGCAGGGAAUCUUCCGCAUGGGGCGAAAGCCUGACGCAGCAACGCCGCGUGAGUGAUGAAGGUCUUCGGAUCUUAAAACUCUGUUAUUUGGGAAGAACAAAUGUGUAAGUAACUAUGCACGUCUUGACGGUACCUAAUCAGAAAGCCACGGCUAACUACGUG
This 497-nucleotide ribosomal RNA is filed under the name uncultured bacterium. RNAcentral's name for it is "partial 16S ribosomal RNA". It matches the Rfam family "Bacterial small subunit ribosomal RNA", at positions 28 to 507 of the family's 1533-position model. The record is from RNAcentral.